UACGUAGGGGGCUAGCGUUGUCCGGAAUCAUUGGGCGUAAAGCGCGCGUAGGCGGCCAGAUAAGUCCGGUGUGAAAGUCACAGGCUCAACCUGUGAAUGCCGCUGGAAACUGUCUGGCUAGAGUCCGGAAGGGGCGAGUGGAAUUCCUGGUGUAGCGGUGGAAUGCGCAGAUAUCAGGAGGAACACCAAUAGCGAAGGCAGCUCGCUGGGACGGUACUGACGCUAAGGCGCGAAAGCGUGGGGAGCGAACAGG
This 253-nucleotide ribosomal RNA is filed under the name uncultured bacterium. Its description in RNAcentral is "partial 16S ribosomal RNA". It matches the Rfam family "Bacterial small subunit ribosomal RNA", at positions 524 to 776 of the family's 1533-position model. The record is from RNAcentral.